This 2913-nucleotide ribosomal RNA is filed under the name Triticum aestivum (bread wheat). RNAcentral's name for it is "partial small subunit ribosomal RNA". Lineage: Eukaryota; Viridiplantae; Streptophyta; Magnoliopsida; Poales; Poaceae. The record is from RNAcentral.
AUGAGGUACAGGCGCUCACAGCUUCACUUCAUCCUGCUAUUGCUCGCAUACUACUGCCCCACCCACAUCGCUGCCAACGGCAAUGGAACCACAGUCCAGUGCCUCCCUGGUCAGGCUUCGUCUCUACUCCAGCUCAAGCACUCCUUCCACAACCCAAACCUCUCGUCUUGGCAGCAUGGCACGGAUUGUUGCCACUGGGAGGGUGUUGGCUGCGACAUGGCCUCCAGUCAGGUGAUCACUUUGGACCUCAGUUAUCGUGACCUACAGAGCACCAGAGGUCUCAGCCCAGCACUAUUCAACCUCACCUCUCUUAGAAACCUAAGCCUAGCAUCCCAACUCAGCCUACUUUCACAAAAUAGUAUCUCCGGCGAGGUUCCUGAGUUCCUUGCUGCCUUCUCUUCCUUGAGUACCCUUGAUCUAUCUGAUAAUGAAUUUGAAGGGCAGUUUCCCACAAAGAUAUUCCACCUAAAAAAGUUAAGGUCAAUUGACUUGUCUUUGAACACUAGGCUUUUCGGGCACCUACCAAAUUUCCCAGUUCAAAAUAGUUUGGAGUUACUUGAUCUUACGGACACCAACUUCACUGCAUCAAUACCAGACUCUUUUGUCAACCUCAAGUUCUUGAGAUCCUUGGCGCUCAGCAUGAGAGAACUUGCCGAUGGCACUAUCCCUUUAACAUUCAAGCUUCCUAGCUUACAGUUCCUGUCACUCCAUGGGUCAGGCUCGGAGAAGCCAAAUUUCUCUUGGAUCGGCAAUCUUGAGCGUUUAAGAUACUUGGACCUGGAACACUACAACUUGUCCAGUCCAAUAACUUCUUGGGUUGGCAACCUUACAAGUUUGACAAGUUUGUUGCUUCGAGAUUGCAGCUUAUAUGGGAGGAUACCCAUCUGGAUCGGCAACUUAACAAAUCUUUCUAGGCUAUAUCUUACCAGCAAUAACCUCCAAGGUGAGAUCCUAAAUUCCUGGAAUAUAUCUGUAAAUUACUACCCUUUGAGUUUGACCGGUUUUAUCUCUAUAUGUGCAGGUGACAUUCCAAAAUGUUUGUUCAAUCAUCCAAAGUUGGGAGAACUGAACUUAGGAUCAAAUCAACUUUCUGGUCAUCUUGUGGAUGUUUCUGCACCUCGAUCUUCACCUUUAUAUUACAUUGUGUUAAGUUAUAAUCAGCUAAGUGGCCACAUACCCAAAUCAUUCUUUCAGUUGACAAAACUAGAAGAUAUUCUGCUUGAAUCGAAUAAACUGGAGGGCGCUGUGGAGCUUAGCCUUCUUUCAGGACUGAAAUAUCUAGAACUGUUGAGCCUUUCUGACAACAUGCUAUCAGUAACAGAUGGAGAAUAUCCAUUUCCUUCCCUGCCAAACAUGCAAAACCUAUACCUUGUGUCUUGCAACCUUGCAAAAAUACCAAGUAUGUUGAGGCAUCAAUAUGAGAUGGAUGAUGUUGACCUUUCAAACAAUAAUAUAGAUGGAGUUAUACCAUGUUGGUUGUGGGAGAAUGGGGAGAACAGUAUCCGGUUCAACCUUUCACACAACAUGUUCACUAGCCUGGAGAAGUGUACACUACUUAAUCCUACCAUGAGGAGUUUGGGUUUUCUUGAUCUUAGUUCCAAUAGACUUGAAGGGAAUUUACCAAUACCACUCAUAUCCAGUACAUUCGGUGGAGUUUUGUUAGAUUAUUCCAAUAACAGCUUCUCUUCAAUUACACCAGCCGUGGAUAUGCAUAUCAACAACUCCAUCAAGCUAGAUUUGUCCAAGAAUAAACUAAAUGGUGAUAUACCAACUUCAAUUUGUGGUGGAAACUAUGAAAUCCUAGACUUGUCAUACAACAACCUUACUGGCCCGAUUCCAGCCUGCCUAAUUCAACAUGGCAAUAUGAAAGUAUUGAAGAUGAGAAAGAACCAAUUACAUGGGAUACUUCCUGAAAAUAUUGGAGAAGGUUGUAUGCUUCAGACAAUAGAUUUGAACAGCAACCUAAUUGAAGGGAAAAUACCCAGAUCACUCUCUAACUGCAGAAGCUUAGAGGUCUUUGACAUAGGUAACAAUCAUAUUGUUGAUUCUUUCCCGACCUGGUUGGGCUCCAUUUCCAAUCUUCGAGUUCUCAUCUUGAGAUCCAACCAAUUCUAUGGUUCAAUUGGGAGUCUUACAAAAGGUGUUGCUGCAAGAAAAAUUUUCUCAGGAAUGCAAAUUGUUGAUUUGGACUCAAAUAACUUCUCUGGGAGCUUGAGCUCAAAAUGGUUUGACAUGCUACAAACAAUGAUGGCAAACUCUAGUGGUGAGGGUAAUGCUCUGGCCUUUGAUAGUAGUUUUCUUGGGGAUCAAUACUACCAAGAAAUUCUCACAUUUAAAGGGAUUGAACUUACAUUUACCAAGAUCCUGACCACUUUCAAGAUGAUCGAUUUCUCAAACAACGCUUUUGAUGGUCCCAUCCCAGCCUCUGUUGGAAAGCUUAUUGUUCUUCAUGGUCUGAACAUGUCACAUAACGCCUUCACCGGAAGAAUCCCAUCAAAGCUUGGUGACUUGGCACAACUCGAGUCACUGGACCUCUCCCAGAACAAGCUCUCAGGGGUGAUUCCACGGGAUCUAACCAGCCUAACAUAUCUCGCGGUGCUGAAUCUCUCCUACAACAGUUUGACCGGAAUGAUACCAGAAGGGCAGCAGUUCUCGUCAUUUACCAACAGUUCAUUCCAAGGCAAUGAAGGACUGUGUGGAAGGCCACUUUCCAAACAGUGCAACAGUUCAGUUACGGGAACUCUCAACUCAUCGGUGUCUUCACAAGACAGUGUUGGAACCAUAGUGUUGUUUGUGUUUGUGGGAUCCGGCUUCGGAGUUGGCUUUGCGGCGGCAGUUGUGUUGUCAGUGGUUUGGCAGGCUAAACGUUGGAACUGCAAUUGUUUCCCCGUUCCACCAGUGACCAUGAUAUGA